RNAcentral lists this ribosomal RNA (508 nucleotides) under uncultured bacterium. Its description in RNAcentral is "bacterial SSU rRNA". It matches the Rfam family "Bacterial small subunit ribosomal RNA", at positions 28 to 496 of the family's 1533-position model. The record is from RNAcentral.
GACGAACGCUGGCGGCGUGCCUAAUACAUGCAAGUCGAACGCACUCUCGUUUAGAUUGAAGGAACUUGCUCCUGAUUGAUAAACAUUUGAGUGAGUGGCGGACGGGUGAGUAACACGUGGGUAACCUGCCCUAAAGUGGGGGAUAACAUUUGGAAACAGAUGCUAAUACCGCAUAAAACCUAACACCGCAUGGUGUAGGGUUGAAAGAUGGUUUCGGCUAUCACUUUAGGAUGGACCCGCGGUGCAUUAGUUAGUUGGUGAGGUAAAGGCUCACCAAGACCGUGAUGCAUAGCCGACCUGAGAGGGUAAUCGGCCACACUGGGACUGAGACACGGCCCAGACUCCUACGGGAGGCAGCAGUAGGGAAUCUUCCACAAUGGACGAAAGUCUGAUGGAGCAACGCCGCGUGAGUGAAGAAGGUUUUCGGAUCGUAAAACUCUGUUGUUGGAGAAGAUGUAUCUGAUAGUAACUGAUCAGGUAGUGACGGUAUCCAACCAGAAAGCCACGG